CAGCAGCCGCGGGAAUACAGAGGGUGCGAGCGUUAAUCGGAUUUACUGGGCGUAAAGCGUGCGUAGGCGGCUAAUUGAGUCGGAUGUGAAAUCCCCGAGCUUAACUUGGGAAUUGCAUUCGAUACUGGUUAGCUAGAGUGUGGGAGAGGAUGGUAGAAUUCCAGGUGUAGCGGUGAAAUGCGUAGAGAUCUGGAGGAAUACCGAUGGCGAAGGCAGCCAUCUGGCCUAACACUGACGCUGAGGUACGAAAGCAUGGGGAGCAAACAGGAUUAGAUACCCGUGUAGUCCCUGUCUCUUAUAC
RNAcentral lists this ribosomal RNA (301 nucleotides) under uncultured bacterium. RNAcentral describes it as "partial 16S ribosomal RNA". It matches the Rfam family "Bacterial small subunit ribosomal RNA", at positions 509 to 807 of the family's 1533-position model. The record is from RNAcentral.